CAUAAAAUCAUUCGAACAAGUAAAAUCAAUUUGUCUGAAAAAUGAAAUAAGACGUAUUUGUACUGCAAGUCCAAAAAUCAAUAAAUUGUCUGAAACCAGGGAGUUCAUCUUUUAUGCUCUUCCAUUGACUUAUCUCCCUUGGGUAAGAUCUCAAACAUGUCAGCUCCAAGUGAUGGUUUGGCAGACAAAUGUUUACAGUGAAGUUUGUGACUUUAAUAAUCUAGGAUGAGCAUGUGGGCUAUCCCAGCCUUAUACAUCUACAUAUUACAAACUAUUUAAGAUAUCUGAAUGCACUAAAGACCAAAAUAGCAAUUCCCAAAAAAAUAAUUACUGCCAAGAAAUUUGACAAUCAUGACAAUAAUUUAGUGAAUAAACAUGAUAAAUAUUGAUUGGAAAAAUAAGUCCAUGAACAGCAAAAAGUGUUUUUAGAUUUCAACGAGCAAAACAAAAGUAUUCUAAAUCAUUCUUCGUAAAAAAAAAAGUGAGCCAGUGGAACCAACUUGCUCGCACCAAAAUUGAGAUUGAGAGUGUCUGGCGCACCAUCAAUAAAUCAACGACACUCUCUCUACCGUGGUAUUGAAACCAGCAUUGGUAACCAAACAUAUUCAUACAGAUACAGACUACCAUUCAUCUACAUUUAGGAAGUCUGAAUAAUACUGAAAACUAUGGUGUAGAAUUUCCAACAGGACUCCUUAUUUUAUAUAAGACAAGGAGUGGUUUAUUUUCCCAUGGUUGUUACAUCAUCUUGUCUUUGAAUAUGCUCGAAGUACAGGGACUUUUAUGGAAUUCAUUGACAUGAUAGUCAAGCAAGAUGUCAACAUCUCGUCCAACCCUCUUCCAGCAAAGCCAAAGCUGACCAAGGAUCUUCACCCUUUCAAAACAGGCUGUAUACAGGACGAGUUAUUCCAGUAGGAACAGGGCUAUAUAUAUAUGCAAGCAAUGCUCAAUUAAGAUGAAUUAUUGUAAAAGUGACAUUAGCCAGCUGGUCAAACUAAAUACAUGUAUAGAAGAAGAUAUUGAUCUAGACUCGCAGCUAACCUUUCUGUCAGUGUCAACAACAACUGAACUUUCACAGCAGUCAACAUCAGAUUGAGAGACUGAUAAUGCUUCUAACAGAAAAAAUUUCAACCAACCAAACAAGCAACAGAAACUUUCCAACUUUAAAACAUCAGUUAAAUCUUCCAUGGGAUGAUGUCUCAAAAAAUAACAGUUCAUCAUUUAUGGAGAUUUUAAUGUUAUGGUUUUUCUUUUACAAGAAAGUUAAUGUACACUUGUUUUAUAGUAAAACCUAUAGCCGUUCAAGUAUAAAAAAGCACAUUCAACUUUAUUGAAAUUUGAAGAUUCAUAUGACUUAUUUUAAUUCUGUUAUCUCCGAGGAUGUGAUGUAGAGCAUUAUAGGUACAGUAAUCUUAACAACUAUCCAAUUUCAUUCAAAAUUCUUUAUACAUUUUGCACUGGUAUAUAUAGACUAAGUAAUUUGUUUUUCGUCUAGUUAUGGGAUUUUUAAUACCCCACGCAACGAGUUGCGGAGGGUAUAAUGUUUUUGACCCGUCCGUCUGUCUGUCUGUCAGUCCGUCAGUCCUGUUUCUUGUCAUCGCAACUCCUCUCAAACCACACAACAGAAUUUCACGAAACCUUUUUAGAUAAUAAGUACAUACUAUGUAGUUGUGCAUAUAGACAGGAAAUUACGAUUCAAUUCUUUUUCUAGGAGUUACGCCCCUUUGAAUUUAUUUACUUUAAUGUACAACUGCAACAGUUUGUCAUCGCAACUCCUCUCAAACCACACAACAGAAUUUCAUGAAACCUUUUCAGAUAAUAAGGACAUACUACGUAGAUGUGCAUAUCGACAGGAAAUUACGAUUCAAUUUUUUUUCCAGGAGUUACGCCCCUUUGAACUUAUUUGCCAAAUAUACUACUGCAACCUUUUGUCAUCGCAACUCCUCUCAAACCACACAACAGAAUUUCAUGAAACCUUUUCAGAUAAUAAGGACAUACUACGUAGAUGUGCAUAUCGACAGGAAAUUACGAUUCAAUUUUUUUUCCAGGAAUUACGCCCCUUUGAACUUAUUUGCCCAAUAUACUACUGCAACCUUUUGUCAUCGCAACUCCUCUCAAACCACACAACAGAAUUUCAUGAAACUGUGUAGAUAAUAAGGACAUACUACGUCGAUGUGCAUAUUGACAGGAAAUUAUGAUUCAAUUUAUUUUUUCUGAUACAAUUUUUUUUUCUUACACUUAUUAUAUUUCUCCAAUGACAAUGUGGGGACGUGGGGUAUGUGAGCGCGCUCACUAAGGUUCUUUCAUUUUAGAAGCAUUUAUGAUUUUCAUGUUUGUAUUGACCACAUUGCAGCAACAUAGAUAUAGGUACCUGGCAAAUCUUGCCUUGUUAGCAUACUAGGCUCAAAGGGUCAUAACAAAAUGUCCAUCACUAUUGACUAAGUGU
Molecule: long non-coding RNA, 2443 nt
Organism: Mytilus californianus (California mussel)
Lineage: Eukaryota; Metazoa; Mollusca; Bivalvia; Mytilida; Mytilidae
Exons: 3
Source: RefSeq, a predicted model, not a curated record